This 497-nucleotide ribosomal RNA is filed under the name uncultured bacterium. Its description in RNAcentral is "partial 16S ribosomal RNA". It matches the Rfam family "Bacterial small subunit ribosomal RNA", at positions 28 to 507 of the family's 1533-position model. The record is from RNAcentral.
GAUGAACGCUGGCGGCGUGCCUAAUACAUGCAAGUCGAGCGAACAGACGAGGAGCUUGCUCCUCUGACGUUAGCGGCGGACGGGUGAGUAACACGUGGUUAACCUACCUAUAAGACUGGGAUAACUUCGGGAAACCGUAGCUAAUACCGGAUAAUAUAUUGAACCGCAUUGUUCAAUAGUUAAAGACGGUUUUGCUUUCACUUAUAGAUGGAUCCGCACCGCAUUAGCUAGUUGGUAAGGUAACGGCUUACCAAGGCGACGAUGCGUAGCCGACCUGAAAGGGUGAUCGGCCACCCGGGAACUGAGACACGGUCCAGACUCCGACGGGGGGCAGCAGUAGGGAAUCUUACGCAAUGGGCGAAAGCCUGACGGAGCAACGCCGCGGGAGUGAUGAAGGUCUUCGGAUCGUAAAACUCUGUUAUUAGGGAAGAACAAAUGUGUAAGUAACUAUGAACGUCUUGACGGUACCUAAUCAGAAAGCCACGGCUAACUACGUG